GCAAGAUUAAAACUCAAAGGAAUAGACGGGGACCCGCACAAGUGGUGGAGCAUGUGGUUUAAUUCGAAGAUACGCGAAGAACCUUACCUAGCCUUGACAUUGAUUGAACGGACCAGAGAUGGACCGGUGCCCUUCGGGGAACAUGAAAACAGGUGCUGCACGGCUGUCGUCAGCUCGUGUCGUGAGGUGUUGGGUUAAGUCCCGCAACGAGCGCAACCCUCGUCAAUAGUUGCCAGCAGGUUAAGCUGGGCACUCUAUUGAGACUGCCUUCGUAAGGAGGAGGAAGGUGAGGACGACGUCAAGUCAUCAUGGCCCUUAUGGCUAGGGCUACACACGUGCUACAAUGGGGCGUACAGAGAGUUGCGAUACCGCGAGGUGGAGCCAAUCUCAUAAAGCGUCUCUCAGUUCGGAUUGAAGUCUGCAACUCGACUUCAUGAAGCUGGAAUCACUAGUAAUCGUAGAUCAGCAAUGCUACGGUGAAUACGUUCCCGGGUCUUGUACUCACCGCCCGUCACACCAUGGGAGUUGAUUUCACCCGAAAUUGGGAAGCUAACCUUCGGGGGGCUACCACUUACGGUGGAAUUAGCGACUGGGGUGAAGUCGUAACAAGGUA
RNAcentral lists this ribosomal RNA (613 nucleotides) under uncultured bacterium. Its description in RNAcentral is "bacterial SSU rRNA". It matches the Rfam family "Bacterial small subunit ribosomal RNA", at positions 888 to 1498 of the family's 1533-position model. The record is from RNAcentral.